GAACGUUCUGAUAUUAAUACCCUUUAAACCUUGAUAUUUCAUUAACCUUAUGAAAUUAAUGGGCAUGGGUAGGGUAGGGGUACUUGGAUAGGUAGAGGUAUGGUAGGAUAGGUGUAGAAUAGGAUAGGGGUAGGGAAUGAGUCAAAGCGAAGCUCCGGGUCCUUUAGUAUCUAUCUAUAUAUAUUUUUUUAAAUCUCUCAUUUAUUCAUUAGUCGAGAGGAACCUCGUCACAAUACGCGCCGUCUUAUCUGAUAAUUGCCUUCUGUAUCCAGCGCUUAAAGCGAAUGUUUCUUAAAAAUAUAGCGCUUAAUGCAUGAGAUAUUGUUUUUUAUUCUUUACAAGUUAGCCCUUGACCACAAUCUCACCUGAUGGUAAGUGUUGAUGCAGUAUAAGAUAGAAGCGGGCUAACUUGUUAGGAGGAGGAUGAAAAUCCUCACCCCUCUCGGUUUCUACACGACAUCUUUUAGUAGACUAGAAGUUCUUCAUUUUUAUGACAAGAAUUUUAUUAUAGACAAGAAUGCAUUUUUUUUGGAGCUCUUUACACAACGAUAACAUAUAAAAUAAUGAAACAAUGUUUCUAUAGGUACAGUUUUUAUAAACAGUUUAUGAUUCUUGACCCUGAAGUCGAAAUCAAAUAAAAAAUUGGAGUAAAUUCUCAAAAUUAUAGUGCAAAUAUAUGAAUAACUGAGCUUAAUACUUAUUGUAUAGGUAGUUAUGGAUUCAAUUCAAACAAAAAAAUAAUUUACAAAUGACGAAAACGCAUGUUUUUUAGUUUCAAUGAUUUUUUUUUAAUUUCAGUCUCUAUAUUUAUUAGCCAAACUCUAUCUUUGAAUCUUACUUAGUAUCUAUUCAAUUAUGAUUUCUAAUAGUUAAAGCUGAAAUCAAAAAUGCCGGACUGGAGUUGGUUGGUGAUGGCAGCACUGUUCGGAGCGGUCUCCGCGCUGUCCGUGCCACUGGCUCUCUUUCUCUACUUCGUGAGACCCUUCGAACAGAAGCGGCCAGCGGAAGAGGACUUCUUCAUACCCGUUACUUUACCACCGGAAAUUCUGAAUGAAUUGACUCGUGGCGCCGGGAGUACUCCCGAGGGGGCUCUCAACGCAAUGCUCCAGUUCAUCUUCCAGCAGAGCACAGCCGACACCAGGUGGCUGCGGCGGCGAAUGGCGAAUGAGUUGGCGGAACUGCUGGCGAAAACAUCCUCGGGAAAGAUUUUCGAAUCUCUAACGCUACGCUCGCUCGAAGUGGGCACAGAGUUCCCCAGCAUCACAAAUCUCCGUCUUGUCAACGGAGAGUUAGAGGAUGACGGGGCAAGGUUGCGGUCUCUAGACUUGAAGUUCGAUUUGCAGUAUGAUGGCAGCUUUAGAAUAGAAGUCGACGCUAUCAUGCUGUUGGGAAAAAUUGCCAACAUAUCUAUUACCGUGGAAAGCAUAAGUGGCAAUGUCCGUGUUUUGUUCCGUCGUACGCCAUAUACGCACUGGGCGAUAGCAUUCGAAACGCCUCCUCGAUUGGAACUGCGUGUACGAGGACGGUUCCAAGGAAGACAGCUGAAGCCACGACUCGCAGCACUUGUGGCCGCUCAUAUCAGACGAGCCGUGGCUCAACGGCACACACUUCCCAAUUACAAGAUUAGGUAUAAACCAUUUUUCCCAAAGUCCGAGCCAGGCAGCACCGACGGUGAGGACGGUCCAACGCCCCACGGUCGUCUUACGGUGCGACUGGUGGAGGUGACUAGACUACACUGGGCUGGUAGCAACGGGACAGUUCGCGCUGCGUUAGCCGUCGACUCACAUGGAUGGGUAUCACUUCGCCGCGGCAUCUUAGUUCUCGACGUGGUACUGCCAGCAGUGACCGGCCCAUUAGGGCUGGUAUGUUGUCAAGGAGUGGGAGUAGUAUUGGUGGACACCGUGGUGCCGAUGUCGCCCGCCUACAGAGCCGACUUACGCCGUGAUGACGUCGUGUUGGCCAUUGACAAUAAGCCAGUCAUUAAUGUUGCUCAAGUUGGAAAACUCUUACGAAGUGUUGAACGUCGGGCAGUCACAGUUAGGGUGAGACGAGGUGGUUCAGGAGGAUCCACGAGACGAGAGGACGAACCGAAGCGAUUGCGCACUAACUUCUCCUUCCGACGAGUUUCGGAGGUCAUGGAGGGCGUACGAAUUCAGGGCAUCCGAGCUGCAACGUCUAAAAAUAACCUAACUGAAACUGAUUCACCCUCGAAGACAGCAGAACAACAGUCUGAACCCGAGACACCAGUGAAGCAAAAAACGGAACCACAAACUAUAAGGCCAGCAUCUAAAUCUACGGAACCUGUUGGUCCGACAAACUUCGGAUUACGCAAACGCAGGUGUUCCGUAGAAAACAAAUCGUCAGACAGUUCAGCAGGAAGUACUCCACCGGCUUCAGGUGCAAGCACUCCUUUACGACAAGCGGUGACCACAAACAAAACUGUCAAACAUCCAGAUAUACCAGUAAUUAGAACUGAUUCAUCCGAAUGCAAAGUAUCCGAGAAGGCAGAAAACGUUUUGGAGGAAGAGGAAAUAUUUGAAACGGGCGGACCUAGACAAAGCGAACAUGUAGAAAUUUGCCAAAUGUUUUGGACAAAGUGUGUGCCAAUCAGGCCAAUCAUACCGUUUGAUGAAGAAACUGAAUUUAAAUUAAACGAGAAUCAUAAGUACCUGAAUAUAAAUGUAUGGUCAACAGUGCCGGGAGAGAAAGAUGAAAUACUAUUAGGUUAUUUGAAUAUACCGCUAGCGGCACUGCUGGGUGAGUGCCAAGACUCGACAGUUCCUCAUCACAUGAAACGAUACCAGUUUCUGCCGCCAGAUGUAGAUAUAAAGUUCAGCAAAACUCACAAAUUAUCAUCACAUGCGGGUUUCGAGCCGUGCCUAUGCUUCGGUGACGCCCUGGUCUGGUGGGAGUGGGAGGACGCGGGCAGCGCUCGGGUACCGCGGCCGGCGCCGAAGAACCAUCAACCUAGAGCACAACCAGCUAGAACUGUGCACGACUUUGUUAGAACGCACUUCCAUAGAUCAACACAAUGUGACUUUUGUAAUAAAAAGAUUUGGCUUAAAGAUGCAAUGCAGUGCCGCAACUGCGGUUUAUGCUGUCACAAGAAAUGCGUUACAAAAUGUCAGGAAACUUCACCGUGCGUGCCGAGACAAGAUCGAGAUCAGUCAUCAGGAGUGGGAUGCCCUCCACCAGAGCUCACCAUGACUGAACCUGACACCAUCGCAGAUCCCGAUUCGGAUGAUGACGAAAAAUCUGAACGAAAAGACUCCCUAGACGUCCAAGAAGAAGACGAGCUACUACAGUGGUGACGAAAUCAUUAACACACCCGGACUCUUCCAACACGUACCGACACAUUAUACUCAGGUGGUGGAGCUAUGAGUGCGCUGGUGGCGGGGUUGAGGCGCGCGGGCUCGGCGCACUCCUUGUCUGCGCCGAGGAGCAACGCGUCCUCGCGGUCUUUGCCGCCCUCACCCAGUCAUACUCCCA
RNA transcript from Bicyclus anynana (squinting bush brown), 3489 nucleotides. It is a transcript of the gene named PDZ domain-containing protein 8, with no coding region annotated. Lineage: Eukaryota; Metazoa; Arthropoda; Insecta; Lepidoptera; Nymphalidae. The transcript is spliced from 13 exons. The record is from RefSeq and is a predicted model, not a curated record.